Molecule: long non-coding RNA, 1255 nt
Organism: Alligator mississippiensis (American alligator)
Lineage: Eukaryota; Metazoa; Chordata; Crocodylia; Alligatoridae
Exons: 4
Source: RefSeq, a predicted model, not a curated record
UUUAUAGGGAGUGGAGCUCUUGAGAGAAAGGGGCUGCAGGAGACAGCCCAGCAGGCACCUAAACCACCCAUGAGAGGUAGGAGUCUUGGAGUCAGGAUACCAUCUUGGGAAGCAUGAGAUAUGAGCUUGAGUCCCAUCAAGCUAAGGCGAGUCUAAAACACGGAUCUCCAAUCUUCCAAUAUAGCGAUCUAAGGUGCCAGUCAACUAAGUUUAGAAGUUGCAGUACUUAAGUGGAGGAAUGGAUGGGACCAAUCUGGAUCAGAUCUGUAGUAACUACUACCCAACAAUUUGAUAACAUACAAAAUUACCUGGACAGGAAGACAGACGGAGAGAGAACAUAAGACUUGUUUCAUAUCUCAAUACCAUGAAUUUAUUACUACAAAACUGAUAUAUCACAAAAUGCCUCUGUGUAUGUACAUGUGUGCAUUCAUCUUUGCUUACAUGGCCUUUACAAUUAAGGAAAAUAAAAUAUGUGACACACCCAGAUCCUGGAUGCAGUCAGGUGUGCCUUUGAGACAUACUCUUGGGAUGUUCUCAGAGUCCCAAAACCUUCUCUGCCAUCUGCUGCUUGACCAGUGAGAAGCAACUAAGUCCUGACCAGUGGUGCAUCAGCUUUACCCACCCCAUCUAUGUCUUGCCAGGUCUUAGUAGAGGUCAUUUUGUCAGGCAAAUGGACCACACUUUGUCUGGUUAUGUGCUCAGAAAAGACAGAUUUCUUCCCUUCCUUGGAAAAGGCCUUCCUGUAUGUCCAAAUGCUCUUAAAUCACAGUUACCACUGACAGUAAAUGUGUUAUAAAAAUAACAAAAAUGGAUUAUAAAAACUAUUAGCAAUCAUAUGUUGAGAUAUAGAAAGAAAUAACAAGGCUGAAUAUAUCCUGACGCUACCUCCAUGGAGCAUUAUCUGAAAUGCUUCCAGUGUCACAUGUAGGGUCAGGUAGAUUGGCAGAGCUACAGAGUCUCAAUGCAUGCCUGAAAUGAGGGUGUAGGGAAGAGGGAUUUAGGUUUAUCAGGAACUGGGACCUUUUGAAACUGCAGGAACCUGCAUAGGAAGGAUAGUCUCCACCAGAACCAAAAGGGUACCAAAGUGCUGGCACAUGACGCUAAAAAGGUGGUAGAGAAGCUUUUAAACUAAAAACUGGGAGAAAUCUGACAGGUGUGGAAUGGUACACAGUUCCAGUUUUUACACCUUAAGGGGUAAAAUCAGAAACAAUGGAGAUAAGAAAUAGGGAGGGAGUACUUGAGUGAAAUGCAGAGA